This is a long non-coding RNA of Folsomia candida, 2327 nucleotides long. RefSeq lists it as uncharacterized. The record is from RefSeq and is a predicted model, not a curated record. NCBI's taxonomy places the organism in Eukaryota, Metazoa, Arthropoda, Collembola, Entomobryomorpha, Isotomidae. The transcript has 3 exons.
GGCAAUCUGAGGAUUCGGAAGUAGAAAAUGAAAUCCUUGGAAUCCGGCUUCUUCUCCUCCUCGUCGAGAUGAGAAUAUGCAUUCCAAGGCUGGAACAUAAAUGUGAUAUUCAACAACCAACUUGAGUCUCAAAGUAGUGGUGGUAGCACAAGCCUUAGUCGUCGUCGUACAGCCAUUGGAGAGUCAAUAUAUUCAGAUUAGACGCGAACCUUAAGCCACUUUUCGGGGUGAAACCUCACAAUUCCCAGAAAGUACCACUGUUACGACGAUCUACCUGCUCGUCUCAUGUCAACCAUGUCCGUUAUACAACGUGGACAUUACUCUUGCGUCACCGCAUCUUGUAUAACAAUGGCUGCGGCAGACCACUACUGCUUCAAUAAUCCGAUCCGAACAUGAUUGCGGUACAUUUACCUCGUUGGUGUUAUGUUUUGCAAUCAAUACACCAACCAAGGUGACCAGGUUCGUAGGCAAUUUCAUAUUAAAAAAUCAUUAUUCAUAUUAAAUUGGUACUAAAUUCAGAAAAGAAUUGGCCAUAGAUGCACGUAUCAAAUUUAACUAUUUUAUGCAAAGUAGACAGUGGCAGUUUUCAAGAGCCAAAAAAUGCAUUCACUAUUGAUUUCACCUCCCUGAACCAUCAUUCAACUCAUUUCCCUACCCCAUCGUGCAGUGUUUGCUGAUUGAAUUGAUGUCAAACGACGAUUUAAAAUGCAGCGUUUCAACUUGACGUGGAUCGAGAGGAGGAAGAGCAGUGAAAACGCAGUUGAAAAAAUGAAAGUAAGUACGUCGUCGUCGUCGUCGGUUGAAAUUUGAUAUGAUGCAGCCCCGCAUAAUUUGGGUCGAUGGGAUGGGAUGAUGAUAACUGCAUUUACGCAUAUACUUCCUCUUGGCACCCGCCGAAAGCAGGUACAAUAGACAGGCAGGUCUCACACUUAGCAACACCACAGGACAUCAAAAAUCCAAUAACGAGUUCACACUUUCCAACCAAACCAACUUGCUUCACACCCCAAAAAAUCAACAUUCAGCAACUCAACAUCACACACACACAUGCCGUGUUUGUGUGCUUUCCUUCCGCCACAACCAUCGCCAACCAAGCAGCAGCCACACACACCACACGCCUUGCACUUGGUCGAAAUCCAUUUCUGAACCUGCUUUAAAAUCUAUUUCCAUCUUAAUCCAUCAUCCGUCCGCGGCUUACGUGACGACAUAAGGGUUAAAGUCCGUGCAAGACGACUCCUUUCCCACUUGCUUUCUACUUUAACCCACUCGCAGCUAUUGAGACUCGCAAAUUCGAGAAAAUCAACCCUUCAACUUACACUUAAGGGAAACAUAUGCGUGCGUCUGACUAAAAUGCACUGCUUUUAUGACCACCUCGUUGUAAUUCUUUCCCUCUCCGCAAAGAGUCAAGAGAUAAAUUCUUACUAGCAAUUGAGAGAUAUACAACAUGUGUGUAUGACCAAAAGCAAGAAGGUUUACUACGUGGGCACUGAAUAAUGAUCUCAAGAUCAAUCAAAUGUCCACGGUUCACUGGACAGAAAAUAAUUUUCCCAAUGCACAUUCCACCAUCUGUACACCCGACCAGGAAGUUAAUGUAAGAAUCAUGUAGCUCUAAAUGGCCAGUGAUUCCGUUUCUCUCUUUCUCUCUCACUCGCCUUCACUCGAGGUAUUUAAAAAGUCACUGCUCCUCAAGAUUUGCACUUGUCACCAAAACAAGGUUUACUACUUUAGCAAAGCUGUUAGUCCAAGCGGUAGCGGUGGCCGGUUCAGGCCAUCCAAAAAUUGUUGACCACUACUUAUUACGUAAUACCGGCGUCAUAAAUAAUUAUAAAAUGAAUGAGUGAAUGGAAGGUCAGGUGAAGUAAAAUAAUUUUGUUGCAGGCCGUUGCAAAUCAGUUUCUCAUUUACUAAAAUAUUCAUGUGUGAGGAAGAGGAAAUGAAAAGGAGUUGCCAACCGACGACCAAACAGCCCCUGAAGGCUCGACUCUACCACCAACCCUCUGCCUGGAAGUUGGUCAAUCAGCGGGAGGAAACAUCAUCAGGCUGUGACUUCAUUAGCUCGCAGCCAAGAUUUCGAUGGGCCACCCUCCUCCUCAACCCCAUUGUUCAUGCUGCACUCACUCCAACCAAACUGCCACUUAUCCUCCUCACGCCGAAUUUUAAAAUUGCUCCUCAGCUUGCUUGCGUACUACUCAGCCCCUCACAAGCAUAAGUCUGCUAUUAGAGACAAAGAGAUUGCAAUCAGCAUUUCAAUUCAUGAAGAAGGAGUCGAGUUGGAGGAGAAAGUACGGCAUGAAAUUAUGGCAUGUUGCACAUUUGACUCGCAUUAUUAA